UACGUAGGGGGCAAGCGUUAUCCGGAAUUACUGGGCGUAAAGGGAGCGUAGGCGGACUUUUAAGUGAGAUGUGAAAUACUCGGGCUCAACUUGAGUGCUGCAUUUCAAACUGGAAGUCUAGAGUGCAGGAGAGGAGAAUGGAAUUCCUAGUGUAGCGGUGAAAUGCGUAGAGAUUAGGAAGAACACCAGUGGCGAAGGCGAUUCUCUGGACUGUAACUGACGCUGAGGCUCGAAAGCGUGGGGAGCAAACAGG
This 253-nucleotide ribosomal RNA is filed under the name uncultured bacterium. RNAcentral's name for it is "partial 16S ribosomal RNA". It matches the Rfam family "Bacterial small subunit ribosomal RNA", at positions 524 to 776 of the family's 1533-position model. The record is from RNAcentral.